Molecule: transfer RNA, 74 nt
Filed under: Cryomorphaceae bacterium
Lineage: Bacteria; Pseudomonadati; Bacteroidota; Flavobacteriia; Flavobacteriales; Cryomorphaceae
Description: tRNA-Met
Rfam family: tRNA
About the family: Transfer RNA (tRNA) molecules are approximately 80 nucleotides in length. Their secondary structure includes four short double-helical elements and three loops (D, anti-codon, and T loops).
Source: RNAcentral
GGCGAGAUAGCUCAGCUGGUUAGAGCGCAGCAUUCAUAAUGCUGAGGUCCAGGGUUCAAGCCCCUGUCUCGCUA